CUGAGACUCAAGGUCAGAAAAGACAACAGAUGAUGAAGAGGAAGGGCCAAUGAUGUGAAGGCCCAGAUCCAUCAGAGUAUCAAUGUUCUUCCUCUCUCUCCUCCCCUCUCACUGCAGACAUGAACCACUGGCUGAGAAACAUCCUGAUUCUGACUCUCUGGCUAGAGUGUAAAGGAGAAGACAGAGUGACCCAGCCAGCAGGAGAUGUCAUUGCUGCUGAAGGAGACACAGUUACACUUGGCUGUACUUUUGAGACCAGUGACCCAGGUCCAACUUUGUUCUGGUACAAACAGGAUGGAAACAACAGCCCCAAAUUCAUGUUGAGCCGCAUGCAAGGGGUCGAAGUAAAAACAGAGGCUGAGUUUAAGGAGAGAUUUUCAUCCACACUGGAUUCCACCUCAAGAUCAGUUCCUCUGAAGAUCCAGAAGCUUCAGCUGUCUGACUCUGCUGUGUACUACUGUGCUCUUGUGGACCCUGAGUCAACCCAGGAGCUGAGUUCAAAGUUUGGUACAGCCAGACCUCCCAACAGUUUGGGUCGUUGCAGUGUGGUCAGGCGGAUUCUGGGCCGUUUCUCAUCCCAUAUGAAGUUGGAAACCAUAGAGUGGAUAUCUUUGAAAUAA
Non-coding RNA from Micropterus salmoides (largemouth bass), 620 nucleotides. NCBI's taxonomy places the organism in Eukaryota, Metazoa, Chordata, Actinopteri, Centrarchiformes, Centrarchidae. The record is from the annotation of a RefSeq genome assembly.